UACGUAGGUGGCGAGCGUUGUCCGGAAUUAUUGGGCGUAAAGGGUGCGUAGGCGGUCCGUUAAGUCUAGUUUGAAAGACCACGGCUUAACCGUGGGAGGGGAUUAGAAACUGGCGGACUUGAGGGUAAGAGAGGAAGGUGGAAUUCCACGUGUAGCGGUGAAAUGCGUAGAGAUGUGGAGGAACACCAGUGGCGAAGGCGGCCUUCUGGCUUACCCCUGACGCUGAGGCACGAAAGCGUGGGGAGCAAACAGG
RNAcentral lists this ribosomal RNA (253 nucleotides) under uncultured bacterium. RNAcentral's name for it is "partial 16S ribosomal RNA". It matches the Rfam family "Bacterial small subunit ribosomal RNA", at positions 524 to 776 of the family's 1533-position model. The record is from RNAcentral.